This 618-nucleotide small RNA is filed under the name Pongo abelii (Sumatran orangutan). RNAcentral's name for it is "processed transcript". Lineage: Eukaryota; Metazoa; Chordata; Mammalia; Primates; Hominidae. The record is from RNAcentral.
CUUGAAGCUGGCUGUGGGGUUGGAAACUGUUUAUUCCCACUUUUAGAAGAAGAUCCGAAUAUCUUUGCCUAUGCCUGUGAUUUUUCUCCAAGAGCAGUUGAAUAUGUUAAGCAAAAUCCUUUAUAUGACACAGAAAGAUGCAAGGUAUUCCAGUGUGAUCUGACCAAAGAUGAUCUUCUGGAUCAUGUACCUCCAGAGUCUGUGGAUGUUGUUAUGUUGAUAUUUGUGCUGUCAGCUGUUCAUCCUGAUAAGAUGCACCUUGUCUUACAAAACAUUUACAAGUGCCAUGGCUGCUCUUCAGAGCUUCGCCAGCCCCGGGACAAGGAUGAUUUUGCAGUUACCUGGGAUCCAUGGAGUCCUGCUAUAAGGUAUUAAAACCAGGCAAAAGUGUCUUGUUUCGUGACUACGGGCUGUAUGAUCAUGCCAUGCUUAGGUUUAAAGCCGGCAGCAAACUUGGAGAAAACUUUUAUGUUAGACAAGAUGGGACCAGAUCAUAUUUUUUUACUGAUGAAUUCCUGGCUCAGCUCUUUAUGGACACAGGUUAUGAAGAAGUGGUAAACGAGUAUGUGUUUCGAGAGACGGUGAAUAAAAAAGAAGGCCUGUGUGUGCCAAGAGUUU